RNAcentral lists this ribosomal RNA (468 nucleotides) under uncultured bacterium. Its description in RNAcentral is "partial 16S ribosomal RNA". It matches the Rfam family "Bacterial small subunit ribosomal RNA", at positions 28 to 507 of the family's 1533-position model. The record is from RNAcentral.
GACGAACGCUGGCGGCGUGCUUAACACAUGCAAGUCGAACGGAAAGGCCCUGCUUUUGUGGGGUGCUCGAGUGGCGAACGGGUGAGUAACACGUGAGUAACCUGCCCUUGACUUUGGGAUAACUUCAGGAAACUGGGGCUAAUAAAGGAGAGGAGCUCCUGCUGCAUGGUGGGGGUGGGAAAGGUUCGGCGGUUGGGGAUGGACUCGCGGCUUAUCAGCUUGUUGGUGGGGUAGUGGCUUACCAAGGCUUUGACGGGGAGCCGGCCUGAGAGGGUGACCGGCCACAUUGGGACUGAGAUACGGCCCAGCCUCCUACGGGAGGCAGCAGUGGGGAAUAUUGCACAAUGGGCGGAAGCCUUAUGCAGCAACGCCGCGUGCGGGAUGACGGCCUUCGGGUUGUAAACCGCUUUCGCCUGUGACGAAGCGUGAGUGACGGUAAUGGGUAAAGAAGCACCGGCUAACUACGUG